UUGCGGUAAAACCUUUUAAACAAAUUCUAUCCAACGUGCAUCUAAUUGUUCAUAUGUGAAUAAUUCCUCUGUCCUGGAAUUUGAGGCGAAAUUCUGCUGCCUCGCAUCGCCUGAUUGGCAGAUGCAAGCUGGCCAAUCAGGCCACCUGGAGCAGAGAGCAUGUUACUUGGAUGUCCAUUGUUUUUGGUGUGAAUAGAAUGACUGGCUGGGUCGGAUGAUAAGGCUUACAAAGGACUUUUUGCUGACAGCAUCAUUCCUAUUCCUGUUCUGAGGACACUGACUCAGUUCUGCAUAGUCUGCGCUCAGCUUGUUUCACCAUUCGCGGCCAUUUUAAUCCAUUGCAAUGUUCAGGACCUGAAGGGCACAUGGCAAGACAAAGCCCUGCCCAGACAAGCAGCUACUGUCUUCCAGGCAUUUGUUGAGCACAUCCUUACUCAGGAGGCAUAUAAUAUACUGCUGUCUAGGGCUGUAUAGCUGCAGGUGGAAAUCAGAGAUAAAGCAGCUCUGAUGAAGGAAAAGAGGCCAGAUUUUGGCCAUUUCAGUCCACCGUAAAUACUAGCUGGUGGUCCUUUUGGACUGUAGUUCCAGGCCUCAUACUUGGUUGCUACUAUUUCUGUUUAUCCUUCCAGUUUCAACUAUAAGCAGAUUGAGAUAAAUACUUCUAUUUCAAAUAAUACACCACAAGGCACCGAUGUACAGUUAUUCUGACGUUGAUAUACUCAGUGAUCAGACAAGACCUAUCCAUGCUCCAAUUUCAUACUUGCCCCUACUGUGUCCUUGAAGGCUGGGCUGAGUCUUCCUUUGCAGCGGCUCUAGGUGCAGCUUUACUAGGGAGGCCCCUUAAUCAAGAAAACUGAUGACCUUCCUGUUUCCCACGCAGCACCAUGUAAUGCAGAAGCCUUGGGUGACUGUGGACUCUGCCUAUGGCUACAGUUGAGCUUAGAUGGACCAAUUUCUGUGGCUGAAAACAUCUGAAACCUUUCAGUCAUUGUUGGCUUUGAUUACUUCAACUUCAGCCACCUCCUACCUAAAGUGUCUGUGGAAUCGAGAACCAUCGAGGUUGGGGGCUGUAGUUGCCGUGAGACAAGUUCUUCAAAGUUAGACCUAAGAGCAGGUUUAUUAAAACCCAUAAACGAGUGAGUCUAGUAGGGAGACUUUCAAAAAUGAAAGUUAGCAAAGAAAUGAAAGAAGAUCUGUGGGAAAGAGGAAUCAAACUGGCAAACAAAACUAAAAUAUCAAAAGGCAGUUGGUACCAUUCACAAGGAACUGAGCAGAUGUAAAAAAAAGAACAUGAAUUUGAAACUACAGCUGUAAGAGUGAGGAACUGUUCUUUUGUACUUUUUCUUUGGAAUCUGCAAGCCAGCUGUGAGUAUUCAUGAUCUUCCAGUUAACUAGAGGCAUGUUGAGGGGCUUACGACCAGCAAGGGAGCACAGCAGUGACAGAUACGGCGUGUGCUACUCUUCCCGUUCUACAUGAGUGAUUAGGAUGGAAGACUACAGGAGAAGUGGAAUUUAAAUGGAUAUUCCUGUAAAGAAUCCGAUGGUCCAGGUUGAGCUGGAAGAUAUCAGUGAUCCAUGAUGCGCAUCACGAGCUAGAGAGGUCUUUUGUAGCCUGUAUUUAGUUUUACUCUGGGCUGUUUGGCACAUAUGAGCCUUGUGUGGGAACCUAGAGUGAUCAGGCAAGGCAAAGAGGUAAGUGAACCAGGACAAGAUACAUGCAUUUCAAGGAAGGCGACAAUCACCUUAUGUGGUCAUUAAUAAAGCAAAAGCUUGUCAAAGAAGGAAAAAAACACUCAGCACUUUGUCGUUUUGGAGAGGUGCAGUCUGGUACAGACCACUACGUGUACAUCGUUGCCCAGCAACCAAAGAACACAAUAACGUCAGUGAUAAUUUGGCACAACCUCUUCCUAAGGAGAGCACUCUACUCAUGGACAAGGAACUAACUGUCUUUAGGAGUAGUGCUUUCUGAUGGUGUUUCUGCUUGAUGCUGACGGCACAAUGAUUGUUCUGGUACCGGAGCUCCUGCGAGCAGCACUCUUCAAGGGAAUCUGCAAGCCCACCUGAUGGGUGGAUUCGGCUUUGCUCAGAGUGCGAGUCACUUGGAAAACAGGAGUGAUACAGGACAAUAAAGAAUGUUACCCAAAGGUAACCAAAAGGAGUGCCCAGGUUCCCAAAAGAUAAAGACAAAAGCCGUACCACUGCCCAACUCUCAAGAACUACCUGAUUCCUGCUAGGUCAAGAUCAAGAUCAUGAGGUAUCAAACAAUGGGCGCUUGGAAAAUGAAUGUAGUAAGUCACAAGUAAGUGGCCAUCCGGAGUAUUCCCUAGAACAGAAUGGGCAGCUAACAUCCUCCGAUCACACAGCACAAUUUUCCACUUGUGCAAGUUCAAAUUCAACAAAAACUAGCUCAAAGCUCAGUUCACAGAGAUUAAAAUGAGCUAGUCCGCAUUCAUAGUUCACAAUUUUGAAUUUUGAAGUAUGUUCACAAUCCCAAAAAAUAAACCAGUUCAGGAUCAUGUCGUCCAUUUUUUUUGUAUGAGUUGCUGUCAAUGCAAAGUGAAAAUUUCAAUCAGCAAUUAAAAUAUCACUAGCAUCACCUACCAUUAAGAAGCUCCUGUAGUCUACUUAAUUGAUAUAAACAAAUGACCGCAGCUCAUGCAAUUCAGCUUCAAUCUUAGAAUGUCUUGCAAACACAUUCUUGUUGCAUAAAAUUAGCCUCAUAUAUUCGAUAUUCAGUUUUCCAGAUGUAAUGUGUUUUGACAAAAGCAAGUCAGGCAGAUUUUAAUUUUUGUUGUCCAAUACA
Long non-coding RNA from Brienomyrus brachyistius, 2803 nucleotides. RefSeq lists it as uncharacterized. The record is from RefSeq and is a predicted model, not a curated record. The transcript has 2 exons. NCBI's taxonomy places the organism in Eukaryota, Metazoa, Chordata, Actinopteri, Osteoglossiformes, Mormyridae.